UGUCUCCUAAAUAGAGACUAGUAUGAACGGUUUAAUGAGGACCAAUCUGUCUCCUGCAGAAAAUCUGUAAAACUGAACCCCCAGUCAAAAUGCUGGGCUGACCCUAUAAGACGAGAAGACCCUGUGGAGCUUUUAAACUAAACCACAACCCAUGUUCAACCUGUUAGAAAGUUUUUAGUUGGGGCGACUCUGGAGACAAAAACAACCCCCAGACACAGGACCAAUUUCCUAACAUGGCCAACAAGCCUAUCAUAAAACCUGACCCGGUUCUCACCGACAAACGAACCAAGUUACCCCAGGGAUAACAGCGCUAUCUUCUUUUAGAGUCCCUAUCAACAAGAAGGUUUACGACCUCGAUGUUGGAUCAGGACACCCAAAUGGUGAGAGCCGCUAUUAACGGUUCGUUUGUUCAACGAUUAGACAGUCCU
RNAcentral lists this ribosomal RNA (428 nucleotides) under Gerrhosaurus flavigularis. Its description in RNAcentral is "16S ribosomal RNA". It matches the Rfam family "Bacterial large subunit ribosomal RNA", at positions 1970 to 2597 of the family's 2925-position model. Lineage: Eukaryota; Metazoa; Chordata; Lepidosauria; Squamata; Gerrhosauridae. The record is from RNAcentral.